AGCAGCCGCGGUAAUUCCAGCUCCAAUAGCGUAUAUUAAAGUUGUUGCAGUUAAAAAGCUCGUAGUUGAAUUUCGGGAUCAAUAUGUCGGUCGUGCCUCGGUACGUACUGGCGUAAUUGGUUUCUCCCUUCUGAAGAACCGCGAUGUCAUUAAUUUGGUGUCGUGGGGAAUCAGGACUGUUACUUUGAAAAAAUUAGAGUGUUUAAAGCAGGCUCGCGCUUGAAUACAUUAGCAUGGAAUAAUGAAAUAGGACGUUUGAUUCUAUUUUGUUGGUUUCUAGGAUCGACGUAAUGAUUAAUAGGGAUAGUUGGGGGCAUUAGUAUUCAAUUGUCAGAGGUGAAAUUCUUGGAUUUAUUGAAGACUACCUACUGCGAAAGCAUUUGCCAAGGAUGUUUUCAUUAAUCAAGAACGAAAGUUAAGGGGAUCGAAGACGAUCAGAUACCGUCGUAGUCUUAACCAUAAACUAUGCCGACUAGGGAUCGGAUGAUGUUAAUUUUUAAUGUACUCAUUCGGCGCCUUA
Molecule: ribosomal RNA, 520 nt
Filed under: uncultured Glomus
Lineage: Eukaryota; Fungi; Glomeromycota; Glomeromycetes; Glomerales; Glomeraceae
Description: SSU rRNA
Rfam family: Eukaryotic small subunit ribosomal RNA
Source: RNAcentral